CCCUGCCCUUUGUACACACCGCCCGUCGCACCUACCGAUUGAAUGGUCCUGUGAAACCUCCGGAUUGCCUGGCCCCUGCGGCCAGCGCGAGAAGUUGGUUAAACCUUACCAUUUAGAGGAAGGUGAAGUCGUAACAAGGUUUCCGUAGGU
Molecule: ribosomal RNA, 150 nt
Filed under: uncultured eukaryote
Lineage: Eukaryota
Description: partial small subunit ribosomal RNA
Rfam family: Eukaryotic small subunit ribosomal RNA
Source: RNAcentral